UCCCUCAUGGUCCAGUGGUUAAGAUUUUGCAAUCCCGAUGCAGAGGGCCUGGGUUCAAUCCUGGUUAGAGAA
This is a transfer RNA of Ovis aries (sheep), 72 nucleotides long. It matches the Rfam family "tRNA". From Rfam's summary of the family: Transfer RNA (tRNA) molecules are approximately 80 nucleotides in length. The record is from Rfam. Lineage: Eukaryota; Metazoa; Chordata; Mammalia; Artiodactyla; Bovidae.